GCAGGUUGAGCCUUGCGAUGUCCUUUCCAUCAAAAUCAGCACAAUGACCGAGGAUGAGCCCUUGAUAGGACUAUAUGAGAAUAAUGAUAUCAGUACAGGUCAUGGAAUGAAACAAAUACCUAGAAGUGCCCUCAUUCAAUAAUAUGGACUGAGUGGCAAUUAUGUGCAAGGCCCUGUGCUAGAUGCUGGAGGAGCUAUCAAAGUGCUUCCAAUCAAAUUGAUUUAAGGAAGGCCAUAGCUCUGAUUAUUGCUAGGGACUUAAGCCCACCCUUUA
RNAcentral lists this long non-coding RNA (274 nucleotides) under Homo sapiens (human). Its description in RNAcentral is "non-protein coding lnc-DDHD1-5:1". Lineage: Eukaryota; Metazoa; Chordata; Mammalia; Primates; Hominidae. The record is from RNAcentral.